Polypterus senegalus (gray bichir) is the source of this 266-nucleotide long non-coding RNA. RefSeq lists it as uncharacterized. The record is from RefSeq and is a predicted model, not a curated record. NCBI's taxonomy places the organism in Eukaryota, Metazoa, Chordata, Cladistia, Polypteriformes, Polypteridae. The transcript has 3 exons.
CUCGACCCGAGGGAUUAGCGAUUAGAGAGUUGAUGGAAAAUUAGAAGGAAGCAAUGCCACUCAAAAAACAAGAUACCCAAAAAGCCCUGCAACUGAUGGAGGAAUGCCAGACGUUAGCAGAAGACCCAAGUUUUAAGGACAAAGCAGAAAAACUGUUGAACAUCUUUCAGAGCGACUUGUUCCAGGCCCUCCUAGAUAUCCAGGAGUUUUAUGAGCUGACAGUGUUUGAAAAUCAACCCGAUAGUUUUGCUCGAAUGUCGCCACAG